GUGUGCAGCGGUACGAAUGUGUGACAUUCAGCCUCCCAUUUGAUAGCGUAUAACAAGCUAAGUAGGCGUUGUACAACAGGAGAUGGCGCACUCAAACUGACAAAGAGAAUUCAAGAGGUGUUUGUUGGUCUCAAUAAGAGCAUGAUCCAAAAGUGGUUGAACAAAAAAACCAUCGGUCCAGAAGACCAAGCCCCAAUUCCAAAACUGUGCACCACUCAUUCCUGUAGGGGCGUGCAGUGUAAUGGAAAGGAAUCAAGUGGACUUGGUGGACAGGAGGAACGUUGGUGGAGAGGGUUAUUACAAUUACAUAUUGAGUGUGAUUGAUGUCUUUAGCAGGUACUUGUUCCUGAAGGCACUUAAAUCAAAGACUUCCGAAGAGGUAGCUGGUGUUCUCGCAAAUGUAUAUGAGGUAUUUGGACCCCCCAAAAUCUUACAAGCAGACAGAGGAACGGAAUUUAAGGGAACUGUUCGGCUGCUGAUGAGUCGACUUGGUGUAAAAAUAAUCCUCAGUGCACCUUACAAGCCAGAAUCACAAGGGAAAGUUGUAUGCUAAAAUCUUCAAGAAACAAUAUGGAGCAGCAACUGGUGAAGAGAUGUAUGCUGACCUUGAAAGGAAGAGCAGCACCAGUUAUGAGCCAAAAUUGAAGUGACACCUGACAAUCAAACAAUCGUUGCCAUUUGCAUUCCUCUUACGAAGAGGGUACAUGAAACAUAGUGGCGAGAUCAUUUUCGUUGAUUCAAGCGGGAACUGUGACCGUCACAACAGUCGCAUCUUUGUGGUUCUAACACACUCAUCUGCUGGAGG
Lytechinus variegatus (green sea urchin) is the source of this 805-nucleotide long non-coding RNA. RefSeq lists it as uncharacterized. The record is from RefSeq and is a predicted model, not a curated record. The transcript has 2 exons. NCBI's taxonomy places the organism in Eukaryota, Metazoa, Echinodermata, Echinoidea, Temnopleuroida, Toxopneustidae.